CGUAUAAUGGAACUCAAAUACCGGGGACAGAGCUAACUUUUAGGUUAAAUUGGGCAUCAUUUGGGAUUGGAGAGCGUCGUGAUGCUGGGCCAGAGCAUUCUAUAUUUGUUGGAGAUCUAGCUCCUGAUGUAACAGAUUAUCUAUUGCAAGAGACUUUUCGUACUCACUACCCGUCAGUUAGAGGAGCGAAGGUUGUUACUGAUCCGAAUACUGGCCGCACAAAGGGAUAUGGUUUUGUUAAAUUUGCUGAUGAGACAGAACGAAACCGUGCCAUGUCGGAAAUGAAUGGGAUGUAUUGCUCAACUAGGCCGAUGCGCAUCAGUGCAGCAACACCAAAAAAGUCGAAUACUAUCCAACAACAAUAUGCAGUAGCAAAAGUAUAUCCCCCUGCCGUUUAUACUCCAACAGUGCAGACUAUCCCUGUAGAUAAUGACUUGACUAAUACAACAGUUUAUGUUGGUAAUCUGGAUCCUAACUUAACUGAAGAGGAACUGAGACAAGUAUUUUUGCAAUUUGGUGAAAUUGUUUAUGUUAAGAUUCCUGCUGCCAAGGGCUGUGGUUUUGUGCAGUUUUCGGCGAGGCCAUCUGCUGAAGAAGCAAUCCAGAGAAUGCAGGGUGCUGUGGUUGGUCAACAAAUUGUUCGUGUUUCAUGGGGUAGGAGUCCGACAGCUAAGCAGGACGCUGGUCUAUGGGGUCAGCCUGCUGAUCCGAGUCAAUG
RNAcentral lists this unclassified non-coding RNA (718 nucleotides) under Hevea brasiliensis (rubber tree). The record is from RNAcentral. Lineage: Eukaryota; Viridiplantae; Streptophyta; Magnoliopsida; Malpighiales; Euphorbiaceae.